Felis catus (domestic cat) is the source of this 1605-nucleotide RNA transcript. It is a transcript of the gene named agmatinase, with no coding region annotated. The record is from RefSeq and is a predicted model, not a curated record. The transcript is spliced from 8 exons. NCBI's taxonomy places the organism in Eukaryota, Metazoa, Chordata, Mammalia, Carnivora, Felidae.
UCCGGAGAGGGGGCGGGGAGAGCGCGGCCCCUCGCCCGCCCUUGAUCCCCAGGCCGCCGGCCCUUUGAGCACAGUCGGCCGUUCGGGCCGCUGCGGGGACCGGCGGGUGACAUGCUGCGGCGGCUGGCGUCCCGCUGCGCCCGGAGCCUGGGGACCCGCGGGGGCGCGCGUCCUGCCGCGGGGCUCCGCCACCUGGGCCGCAGCCCCCGCCGCCGGGCCUCCGAUGCUCCCCGGAACCAGCCCCCCAGCUCCGAGGUCGUGGCCCGGCCGGUGGGCGUCUGCUCCAUGAUGCGGCUGCCGCUGCAGGCCUCCCCCCAGGGGCUGGACGCCGCCUUCGUCGGGGUGCCCCUGGACAUUGGGACCUCCAACCGGCCCGGGGCGAGAUUUGGACCCCGGCGGAUCAGGGAAGAAUCCGUGAUGCUUCGGACAACCAACCCUAGCACGGGGGCCCUCCCCUUCCAGUCCCUCUCGGUUGCAGAUCUAGGUGAUGUGAAUGUCAAUCUUUACAACCUUCAGGACAGCUGCCGUCUAAUUCGAGAGGCCUAUCAGAAAAUCGUAGCAGCUGGCUGUAUUCCUCUGACCUUGGGUGGAGAUCACACAAUCACAUAUCCUAUAUUGCAAGCGAUAGCCAAAAAGCAUGGCCCCGUGGGGCUGCUGCACGUGGAUGCCCACACGGACACGGCUGACAAGGCCCUAGGAGAGAAGGUCUAUCACGGGACGCCCUUCCGCCGGUGUGUGGACGAGGGACUCCUGGACCGUAAGCGUGUGGUGCAGAUCGGCAUCCGGGGCUCUGCCAUGACCCUGGAUCCCUACAGAUACAGCUGGAGCCAGGGCUUCCGGCUGGUCCUGGCUGAAGACUGCUGGAUGAAGUCCCUGGUUCCUCUGAUGGGGGAAGUGAGGCAGCAGAUGGGAGGCAAACCCAUGUACAUCAGCUUUGACAUUGACGGCUUGGAUCCCGCCUAUGCCCCGGGGACAGGGACGCCCGAAAUUGCUGGUCUCACCCCUAGUCAGGCGCUGGAAAUCAUCCGGGGUUGUCAAGGCCUGAACGUGGUGGGCUGUGAUCUUGUGGAAGUGUCACCGCCUUAUGAUCCUUCUGUGAAGAAAAUAAACCUAUUGCUCCACACCUUACAGACGUGAGCUAAUUAACUCGAACACACACCCCUGGGAGGUGGCUCUUACUAGCUUGCCCUCCCGUCAGCAGAAGGAGAACCAGUCCGCAGGAACAGUGAUAAGGGAACACGGCCCUCCUGGCGGCUAACCUGCUGUUUGAGAUGCUGUGUGUGCUCCCCAAGGUGACAGUCGUCUGAACCUCGUGCUCUUCCUGAUAAAUCAGCAGCUUGUGUCGAUGACAGGUUCUCAGGAAUUUAUGUGCAAGAGGCCCGAGUACUCAAGAGUUUACGCCAGUAAAACCUUCUGCUAGAGUGUCACUGGAGGCUGUAAAAUCAGGGCAUUCAGUAGAAGUCUGAUCCAACAGCUAAUAUUUCUAAGGAGUCUGAAUUAAAGAGAAGCACAUGUGUUGUUACAAGGGACAGAGUUUCGGAUUAUCUAAAAACUGGAGAAAUGAAAUAAAAAAAAAAAAACCCAUAGGACAGAAUCCCGUAUAAA